Molecule: transfer RNA, 58 nt
Filed under: Salmo salar (Atlantic salmon)
Lineage: Eukaryota; Metazoa; Chordata; Actinopteri; Salmoniformes; Salmonidae
Also listed under: 1 other name
Rfam family: tRNA
About the family: Transfer RNA (tRNA) molecules are approximately 80 nucleotides in length. Their secondary structure includes four short double-helical elements and three loops (D, anti-codon, and T loops).
Source: Rfam by way of RNAcentral
UAGCUCAGUUGGUAGAGCAUGGUGUUUGCAACGCCAGGAUUGUGGGUUCAAUUCCCAC